This 881-nucleotide long non-coding RNA is filed under the name Anser brachyrhynchus (Pink-footed goose). Its description in RNAcentral is "lncRNA (ENSABRG00000016421.1)". Lineage: Eukaryota; Metazoa; Chordata; Aves; Anseriformes; Anatidae. The record is from RNAcentral.
UCUGAACCCUUAGAGGUAGGAGUCCUGGUACAAAGAUAGCUUGGUUUUAUAGGAAGGGCAUGAGAACAGAAGCCAUAUGUUUCUAAAGACAUUUUAAAAUGCCCUAAAGACAUUUUGAAAUGCUUUAAAUGCAUUGUAUAAACAAAAUACUUGGUGGAGAAAGAUUUCUAUUGUCAUUUUUUAGAAUGCUAUGUCUAACUCAUUCUUGAGUGAAGUGACCAUCUGAAACUCAUUCUCUUUUUUGCUUCAAUGUUUUCUCCUUCCAAAUCCAAUAUGUUUCAGGUCCCUGUUUUUGACCUUUUUCCUUCCUGUUUCCUUUUUCAGAAAACAAAUGUUAUUGGCCAAAACAGCAGUUCUCGUGAUGUAUCCUUAUCUCAGUGUUUGCAACUUAAAUGUAAUAAUUUGAGGUGUUAAGACUUCCCAGGAGCCAUAUGCCUAUGAAUCAGAUUCAGAAGACUGGUUGGCUGAAACCGAAGUCUUCCAUGCUGAUUGUGAUGUGUGCUGCAAUACACAUGGGAAGUUGUCUUUUUUUUUUUUUUCCAUAUUUUUCCAUUAGUGCUUCUACUGAAAGACUGCAAGGACUGUCUCUUGUUUUUUCAAAAGCAAGUCAUUCAUUAGGAUGCUUUAUCUUUGCUAAAAGACAUGUUUUCAACUUCAACACGGCCACUGGCCAGAAAAGCAGGUUUUUUUUUUUUUUUCCUUUAAAAAAGCGUUGGAAAUCAUCAGUCUGACUCAGGAAGAAGGAUUUCAGUUUCAAAGAGAGAGGCAACUAGCUGACACCUGGAGAUUAUGAAAGUCAUGAAAUUCAGCCAAAAUGUGAGUUUUUAAAUCUUUUCAACUUUAAGAUAAUUUUGUAGUGGUAGUGGAUUUACCAAAAUAUC